GAUGAACGCUGGCGGCGUGCCUAAUACAUGCAUGUCGAGCGAACGGACGAGAAGCUUGCUUCUCUGAUGUUAGCGGCGGACGGGUGAGUAACACGUGGAUAACCUACCUAUAAGACUGGGAUAACUUCGGGAAACCGUAGCUAAUACCGGAUAAUAUUUUGAACCGCAUGGUUCAAAAGUGAAAGACGGUCGUGCUGUCACUUAUAGAUGGAUCCGCGCUUCAUUAGCUAGUUGGUAAGGUAACGGCUUACCAAGGCAACGAUGCAUAGCCGACCUGAGAGGGUGAUCGGCCACACUGGAACUGAGACACGGUCCAGACUCCUACGGGAGGCAGCAGUAGGGAAUCUUCCGCAAUGGGCGAAAGCCUGACGGAGCAACGCCGCGUGAGUGAUGAAGGUCUUCGGAUCGUAAAACUCUGUUAUUAGGGAAGAACAUAUGUGUAAGUAACUGUGCACAUCUUGACGGUACCUAAUCAGAAAGCCACGGCUAACUACGUG
RNAcentral lists this ribosomal RNA (497 nucleotides) under uncultured bacterium. RNAcentral describes it as "partial 16S ribosomal RNA". It matches the Rfam family "Bacterial small subunit ribosomal RNA", at positions 28 to 507 of the family's 1533-position model. The record is from RNAcentral.